RNAcentral lists this non-coding RNA (23 nucleotides) under Arabidopsis thaliana (thale cress). Lineage: Eukaryota; Viridiplantae; Streptophyta; Magnoliopsida; Brassicales; Brassicaceae. The record is from RNAcentral.
UAUGGAUAUUUGGUGUCUCGUCA